RNAcentral lists this non-coding RNA (23 nucleotides) under Arabidopsis thaliana (thale cress). Lineage: Eukaryota; Viridiplantae; Streptophyta; Magnoliopsida; Brassicales; Brassicaceae. The record is from RNAcentral.
GCAUUUUCGUGAUUUGUGCUAUA